UGAAUGAGGAGCUGGUGCAGCUGUUGCUGAUGAGAGAUGAGCUCCAUGUGGAGCAGGACGCCAUGCUGGUGGACGUAGAAGACCUGACCAGGCAUGCUCAGAGCCAGCAGAGACACCUGACAGAGAAAACCCUCUCCAAAUAAAACCCCUGCCACCUGUCACCCACAUCACAUGACAACCACAACCACCACAGAGCAGUGGUCAAAAACCCUGGUCCUGGAGACCAAUAAGGUGUGCAGGCUUUUGCUCCAGCACAGCACUUUCACAGCUGAUUCAACUAAUCAAUAUCUUUGAUGCUCAGUUGAUUAGUUGAAUUAGGUAUGUUAGUGCUAGGCUGGACCAAGCCUGGACAUGCUUUAGCUCGUCAGGGUUGGGGUCCACCGCUAGAGAACCACACCCAUCCGGGAGUCAUACAGGGCCCUGAGUUUUAAGUGGUCGGGCAAAACUCUGGGCCCCAGUCAUAAACCAUGUGUCGUUGUGGCAGUUUGAUCACAGAAGAUGACUAGAGUUCUGUUUGUUGCCCCGCUCAGCCAGUCGCGUGCUUUGUAGAAUACUCAACACACUGCAUAGCUAUGUAUCUAUUAAACACAUAGUUGUUUGUGCUGUUGCUAAGGAAUGAGCUCCUAGGCUUCCCAGUGUAUAAACUUUGCGGCAACUGCACAGAUCUUGUAUGAAUCAUUUAGACACACAUGGAUGUAGUACAGCUGUUGUUGCAUAAUUCCACCUGCUUUAACAUGCUGAUGUUUUGAAGAUUUACUGGUUGACCCUUGAUUUUGCCAAAUUUACAGACAGAUUGCAUUGACCUUAUUUUUAGUCUGCACUAUAGGUGGAAUGAAAGCUAAGGGUCCUUUUAGUGUUCUUUGUGGCAGGGUUUAAAUAACUAAUCUUACUAAACUUGACACCCAUGUUCCAAAUAUUAACAUUGGUUUAGCCUAAUAUUUUUAUGAUGCUCCCAAAUGUCAAUGUGUAAUUCAAUCCCUGCUUUGUGACCCUAAUGCUAGUCCACAGUAAAACAUUCAAAAAUAUAUAUUUUAAGACAAAAUAUUAUUGACAAAGUAAAAUCCCAAUUAUUAAGAACUAAAGAUGUCUGAGCUGACUGAUCUUGACACUUGUAAAGCGAUAGCUGGUCGGUCUGGGCUAAAUAAAUACAAAUUCUGAGCUGGAAGGAGACUUGGAUGCCUAGUUGCCUGGUUGUAGAUGAUGGUCAUUGGUGUUCACUAUGAUUAGUCCAUCUUCAGCAUUUGGAGAAUGUCAUUUUAUAGCAGCUUUUUUCAUUUAUUUCUCCAUCAGAUUAUACUAAGCUCAUUCAAAAGUAUUCUGCAUCAUUCAGAAAUCAUAUGACGUUUUGUGUACAGAGAUGAAAAUGAUAAAUAAACGUUUUAAGUGUU
Molecule: long non-coding RNA, 1388 nt
Organism: Coregonus clupeaformis (lake whitefish)
Lineage: Eukaryota; Metazoa; Chordata; Actinopteri; Salmoniformes; Salmonidae
Exons: 2
Source: RefSeq, a predicted model, not a curated record